AGUGAACGCUGGCGGUAGGCCUAACACAUGCAAGUCGAACGGCAGCACAGGAGAGCUUGCUCUCUGGGUGGCGAGUGGCGGACGGGUGAGGAAUACAUCGGAAUCUACCUUUUCGUGGGGGAUAACGUAGGGAAACUUACGCUAAUACCGCAUACGACCUACGGGUGAAAGUGGGGGACCGCAAGGCCUCACGCGAUUAGAUGAGCCGAUGUCCGAUUAGCUAGUUGGCGGGGUAAUGGCCCACCAAGGCGACGAUCGGUAGCUGGUCUGAGAGGAUGAUCAGCCACACUGGAACUGAGACACGGUCCAGACUCCUACGGGAGGCAGCAGUGGGGAAUAUUGGACAAUGGGCGCAAGCCUGAUCCAGCCAUACCGCGUGGGUGAAGAAGGCCUUCGGGUUGUAAAGCCCUUUUGUUGGGAAAGAAAUCCUGUCGAUUAAUACGCGGUGGGGAUGACGGUACCCAAAGAAUAAGCACCGGCUAACUUCGUG
This 490-nucleotide ribosomal RNA is filed under the name uncultured bacterium. RNAcentral describes it as "partial 16S ribosomal RNA". It matches the Rfam family "Bacterial small subunit ribosomal RNA", at positions 29 to 507 of the family's 1533-position model. The record is from RNAcentral.